Molecule: long non-coding RNA, 3196 nt
Filed under: Cucumis sativus (cucumber)
Lineage: Eukaryota; Viridiplantae; Streptophyta; Magnoliopsida; Cucurbitales; Cucurbitaceae
Description: long non-coding RNA (CSAT_LNC000522)
Source: RNAcentral
UCGAGCACAAGAUCCCGCUUUGGACUUGGAGACGUUCUGUCAUUUAGUAUCUGAAGUUUAAUCAGGCUCUGAUGGUUGCAUAGACGACACAUAUUUCUUGCUACCACUGGGAGGGUACUGGACAGGCAUAAAGCAAAUGCCUCGAGGCUGAAUAUGAUGAAAAUUUGUAAGUAGAUUAGACUUAAUAAUGGAAAAUAAAAUUCUCUCCCAUUCCUCUAUCUUCAUAUGAGUUUCUCCCCUGAAACCAUUUAUGGAUUUGUAGCUAAACUUUUACAUCCUAAAAUUGUUUGCUUCAACUGAAACCUGCAUGUGGUGAUCAACUUUACACAACUUAAAAGUUGAUAUGUAGAACAUUAACAAAGUUUUGCAUGUAUGCUGAUUUCAUAGUCUUUUCCCUCCUCUUUAGCUUGGUUGAAACCAAAGUUUAAUCUUGGCCUACUGCAGUAUGGUUGAAGAUUCAUUGAGCAGAUACAAAUUCUCCCUUUUGGAUCAGAGAAUAAGCUUGGCCAAAUCAGUGGUUGAUUGAUUCAGCCAUUUGUUACAUUAGAGUUUUUCACUAUUGUUUCAUUGCUAUCUUCUUUUCAAUCUUCUUGAGUGGAGAUGACAGUUUUGUAUAAUGAUAUUCCCUAUGUGAUAUAAACACACUCAUAACUUGCAUCAUUCUAUAAGAAUGGUCAAGGAAUAACAGUUGUAGCACACCUUCAUUUCAUCUCCAGUUGUAUUUGGAAAACCUUUCAAGUGCUUAAAAAGUUAGUUGAGAGAGGUGUAUGUUGAAAGAAGUGCUUUUGCAUUCUCCCUUGAGGGAGAAACCAAAAUGCUGUGAUGUGAAAGUUUCUUUGAAGUUUAGUGGGAAUAUUUGGUUGGAGAGAAACGAUAGAAUUUUUGGAGACACCGAGAAAUCGGAUAAGGAGGGUUGGAAGAGGUGACUAGUUUUGAUGUUUUUUCCACACUCUCGUACUCUCGUUCUCGAUUUUAUGAGGUUCCAGCCAAUAAUAAAAUAGAUAACAAAAAUUGAAUUUGAUACUCAAUUAUUCAAAUUAUUGAACUCCAAAUAAUUAUAUUUGACUUUAUUUCUUGUAGGUUGUAGGUUGUUCUCUUUCUAUUUACUAAUUGAGUAUGAGAUGAGAAUUGAGAUAACAAAAGAAUUAAAAUGAUCAUAAAUUGUUUUUAGUAUAUGAUCACAACUUAAGUACUAUUAGGCCCCACUCCAACUUAUUUUGGAAGUGACCAUUUCUCUAGUGAUGCCUUUCUCAUUAUUUCUUUCCUUUUAUUAUGAAUUGUAUUUACAUAGUUGAACAAAAAUAUGGAUCUAUAUACCUUUAAAUUAUGAACCAACAUUUGUUUCUAAACUUUUAUAUCCUUCCAUUACGUUCUUUGAAAAAACUUUAUAUGCAACUCAUAAACUCUUAACUUUCAUAGAUGAAUUUUUCUUAUUUUGUUUGGCCAUUCUUAACUAUUUGCUUAUGUUGCAUUUUAUUGGCCAUUUUUGUUUAUGUUUGGCCAAUCUUGGCUCUUUUGAUAUUGUUUUGAAUCUUUCGUUGUAAUAUUUCUUGUUUAGGGUUUGUUUUCGGUUGGAUUACGUUUAAAUCCUAGCAAACCGCCUUUUGCCAAUAAAUGUGAAGGUACGUAGGUUACUUUUUCUUGUGUAAUCACUUUUAGUGAUUUGGAUUUCUUUUGAAAAUUGUCUAUUUUAAUUUGUAAGAUUGACAUUUGAAUAAGUAACACGUACACAAGAUUGAAAAUUACUGGUUAAAUUUAGGAGUUUAAAUGUCUCAAAUUACAAGUUCCACACGAAAUUGGUCGAACUAAAUUUCUCGAGGACAAUGUAAAUUGGUACAGUUAAGAAAGCUUAGAGCUUAAAUUCAUACCAUUGUUACAAUUGUGAUACCCUGAACUUAGGAGGGAAAUAUAAAUAAACCGAGAUCACACCAAAUGAGAGAAAUCACGAGAAUAUGAAAGUAUAAUUAAAAAAAACUUUAAAAAAUUGAGAGCUACUACUUUAUAGUAGCCCAAAAUGCUUAGUUUAGAUUACUCAUACCUAAAGUUGUAGAAGAGUAUGGUAGCUAGGACAUGUCGAAUUCAUAUUUUAAAUCUUGACUUUGGAGGUUAAACAAUCCUCAAAGUUUAAAAGUAUAGAUUGAUAUUUCAAUGGUAUAUUUUCACUUUUACUUCCUAAAGUCUCACUCAAUCAAUUGACGUGGUUUCAAAAUUUACCACAACGAGUACAUAACUACACAUAUAUGAAACAAUUGAUGGUGAAUUAAUAGAGAGCAUCUAAUUAAAUGAUUUUUGUUUCCUUAUAAAGUUAUGAGGCUAAAAUAGGUAUUUUCUAAAGUUUAAACACCAAGGGAAAAAAACAUUCAAUUUUCCCCUUUAAAUCACAAUCACAAUCUUUGAAAAAAAAGAGAAGGAAAUAAUAUAUAUGUAUAUAUAUAUUUUUAAAAAAGACUAUUAGAACAUCACAAGAAUUACUUUUUUUACAAGCUUUUUUUUCUAAAAAAAAAAAAUAAAGCAUGCAAAGAAAAAAAGUGGAAAGAACUUGGGGAUGGAAAUGGAAUAUAUAUAUAUAUAAUAUAUUAUUGGUGAAUAAUAUAGUUUAGAGACUUUGAGGCCAUCAAAGAAAUGGAAUUAAUUUGAUUUGGAGGACUUACCCAUUACCCAAAACUAAUAAUUAACAUAAAAUCUUCCCAAAAAUAGAGUAAUAUUGAUGUGGAAAGGCAAAUAAAGUUGAAUAUCUUUUGGGACUUCCACUCAAAUAAAAAGCAAUUUCAAAGCCAAAAAGCAGUUUUUUUAUUUUUUGCCUUCCAUAAUUUAGGCGAGUUAGAGCCUUUUCACUAUGAUUUGAUAACUUUUGUAUUACUAUUAUUAUUUUUAUUAUUUGGCUUGAUUGGAUUCGUAUUUACCAAAGUAUUACUUAUAAGGUCGACAUUUACGUCUCCAUUAACUUUUUAAUAAUAGAUAUUAAAAAAUCUACAAUAAGAACUCAUAACGCUCACCAAAUUCACCAAACUGGUGACUAAUGUGGCCGCAAAAGCUUCCUCUCACCGGUGCAGAGCAGAAUGCGUGGCUCCUCGAAGACUGGCUGGAGAAGAGAUUGAGAUGGCCGACGACAACAUAAGGUUCACAUGAGGAGAAGAGAAAGAAAACAAAAAUUAUUUCUCUUUUUUCUUUUUAACUUUGAUGCAUUCCAAACUCC